Molecule: ribosomal RNA, 445 nt
Filed under: uncultured bacterium
Lineage: Bacteria
Description: bacterial SSU rRNA
Rfam family: Bacterial small subunit ribosomal RNA
Source: RNAcentral
GUGAGGAAUAUUGCGCAAUGGAGGCAACUCUGACGCAGCCAUGCCGCGUGCAGGAAGAAGGCGCUACGCGUUGUAAACUGCUUUUAACCGGGAAGAAACCCCAGGACGUGUCCUGGGUUGACGGUACCGGAGGAAUAAGCACCGGCUAACUUCGUGCCAGCAGCCGCGGUAAUACGAAGGGUGCAAGCGUUAUCCGGAUUCAUUGGGUUUAAAGGGUGCGUAGGAGGAGCGUUAAGUCAGUGGUGAAAUCCUGCAGCUUAACUGUAGACUUGCCAUUGAUACUGGCGCUCUUGAGUGCGCUUGAAGUGGGCGGAAUGUGCCGUGUAGCGGUGAAAUGCUUAGAUAUGGCACAGAACACCAAUUGCGAAGGCAGCUCACUAAGGCGAUACUGACGCUGAGGCACGAAAGCGUGGGGAUCGAACAGGAUUAGAAACCCUAGUAGUCC